This 824-nucleotide ribosomal RNA is filed under the name Staphylococcus aureus. RNAcentral describes it as "partial 23S ribosomal RNA". It matches the Rfam family "Bacterial large subunit ribosomal RNA", at positions 308 to 1128 of the family's 2925-position model. The record is from RNAcentral. Lineage: Bacteria; Bacillati; Bacillota; Bacilli; Caryophanales; Staphylococcaceae.
CUCUAUACGGAGUUACAAAGGACGACAUUAGACGAAUCAUCUGGAAAGAUGAAUCAAAGAAGGUAAUAAUCCUGUAGUCGAAAAUGUUGUCUCUCUUGAGUGGAUCCUGAGUACGACGGAGCACGUGAAAUUCCGUCGGAAUCUGGGAGGACCAUCUCCUAAGGCUAAAUACUCUCUAGUGACCGAUAGUGAACCAGUACCGUGAGGGAAAGGUGAAAAGCACCCCGGAAGGGGAGUGAAAUAGAACCUGAAACCGUGUGCUUACAAGUAGUCAGAGCCCGUUAAUGGGUGAUGGCGUGCCUUUUGUAGAAUGAACCGGCGAGUUACGAUUUGAUGCAAGGUUAAGCAGUAAAUGUGGAGCCGUAGCGAAAGCGAGUCUGAAUAGGGCGUUUAGUAUUUGGUCGUAGACCCGAAACCAGGUGAUCUACCCUUGGUCAGGUUGAAGUUCAGGUAACACUGAAUGGAGGACCGAACCGACUUACGUUGAAAAGUGAGCGGAUGAACUGAGGGUAGCGGAGAAAUUCCAAUCGAACCUGGAGAUAGCUGGUUCUCUCCGAAAUAGCUUUAGGGCUAGCCUCAAGUGAUGAUUAUUGGAGGUAGAGCACUGUUUGGACGAGGGGCCCCUCUCGGGUUACCGAAUUCAGACAAACUCCGAAUGCCAAUUAAUUUAACUUGGGAGUCAGAACAUGGGUGAUAAGGUCCGUGUUCGAAAGGGAAACAGCCCAGACCACCAGCUAAGGUCCCAAAAUAUAUGUUAAGUGGAAAAGGAUGUGGCGUUGCCCAGACAACUAGGAUGUUGGCUUAGAAGCAGCCAUCAUUUAAAG